AUACAUGAUACUACAUUAGUUCCGACUAGCACAUGAACGCAGCACACCUCAAGAGUGGGCUACAGCGAUGAUGCUUAGGCUACGUGUGUGAGUGGGAUGGAUGGAAGUAUCUUGCCGUCGACAUUCUGGUUGCUGGACGCACGUACUGUAGGCUACUGCGGUAAGGACGCAGCUGCUGGCUGGCUUGAAUAAGCUGAUCAAAGAGACUCACAGAAAAUGUUGAUUUCAUUUUUAAAACAGCCUUUUUGACUUCGAUGCAGGCAGAGUGGACCUUUUCCACCUCUAAACAAAUUAUAGUAGAUUAUAGAAACCCUCGUCGCCCGAUGUUCAGGGAGUCGUGUUCGUGGGAGACGCACGAAAUUAUUUUGCAAGACCUAUCAAAUGAAGGUUAAGGUUUAGCAAACAACACGCAAAGGCAAUUACACGUCUGGCAACGUCUCGCUCUGAGAAUCUGGGUAUGAUAAGCACUUGAAAACCAUUCCAUCACCAACGAGUCGACCCAUUGGACCUCAUGUUGGCCAGACCGCUCAUUCCAACCACCAGAGGAUGCCUGGACAGCCUUCCCAAAGGAUUCAGAGGGAGAGGGACAAGACACAAGAGGACAGUGGUGGCCCACAAAUGCUGUGGAGAAGACGAGGGGAAGAUUCUCUGCCAAGGGAAAUGUGAACAAUGUGUUUGUGGAGUCCUUCCCGUCACUGUCUACUCCCCUGUAUGACCGUGAUGCUGUUCCCAUGCUCAGCCAGCUCCUCAGAGGCAUCUUGGAUCAUGAAAGCUCUGCAGAGGAUCAUGGCUUACUUGAUGGGUUCCAUGACCUGAAGAAGAUGUUUGGCUUGAAAUAUAAGAGGGCAAAUGCUGUUUCCCGUGGACGGCUUCUACAGUCGCUACAUUUGGGCCAGUAUGACACGGAAAAUAUGACUGGGCAUAGAGCAGCCAACUACAGUCCCUCUCUUGGCCUCCCCUCGUCCAGUCAGCAUGCACAGGCCUGUGGGAAGAGACGGUUAUCUUAUGAUGUCAACAAGAACAUCAUGGAAUAACCAAGAUUUCCACUUUCCCUGACUGUCAACAACACAUUGUCUUUACUAUGCCCUUCUAUGCCAAACCACUAAUGGGUCACGGUCUUCAUCUCCAUGGGGAGAAAUAACAAAAAAAUGUCACAAGAUUCAGAACUCAGAGGAUGGACCAGCUGACUAUAUGGUGACCCUUAAUAAUGCCCUGUUUUGCUUGACAUUUCCCUGGAGUUGGAUCAAUAGAUGCAUACCUGUGACUAAUUGGAUAAAAUGAAGCACAAAUGAUUAUUUUUGUCUCACAAAUAUUCCUAAAAUACAUGCAGAUGUUUACAUUCUUAUUAAUCUCAUUCUUUUAGGGACUCUAUGAAAUGUUAAAGUAAUUUGUUUGUCAGGAGAAGUGGAUGUCUAUACCCCUCCCCCUUCGUUCACUCCCACCCGCUUUCCCCCACACACACACGGACUUGGACACAAACACACACUGUCCUCUCCCAUCAUGUGGUCUGGCUCAACUGUGUGCCAGUGACAACUCUGGAGCAGAAUAUAUUCUGUUGGUUUAGCUAACAUUGGAGCUCACAUGGAUCACAGCUCCUUUUCUUAUUAUUUCAGUACAUAAUGACCAUGUUUACUGAAAUGAUUACCUUUUUAAAUUGGGGUGUUUCUGUCUGUCAGAAUUACGUUUUGUACUGGCUAAGAGAAAGUGUUAUUUUACCAGUACAAGUUUGUUUUAGAUCACAAAAAUGCAAUCAUGUCCUAUUAAGACUCCAUUUGUUUUUGUGGGGGCAACCCUGGGCAACUCAGUAGGUCUACAGAAAAUGUAUUUGAUGUUUGUCAUUUGUACAUAAUUCCAAGGGAAAAUACAGAUUUUUUUUCUGAGUGGUUCAAAUGGAUAAAAAAAAGAGAUUGUCAACUUGUUCAUUGAUGUAAUAAAAUGACACGGUGAUUGCGGUUUUCCAUCCUCAAAGCUUUUGCUAAUGUUGUUGCUGUGUCAUUUUUAGAAGUACCUAAAUGGUCAUCUUAUUUGCGUAUUUGACACAAUACUCACUAUAAACCAAAACAGCAAAAAAUAGUACUUCUACAGGCUACAUGUGUCAGUCAAUUAGAAUGGUGUACGGCGCUAGAAUGAAGUAUCACAGGUCAAAGGGAAACUGCACUGGCAAAUCAACACUUCCAAGUGACAUACAUUGAAUUAGCACACCAUUACCACUGGCAAGACUGCAAAGUAAGCCUUCAAGUCAUUAUCCUAAGACUGCUAAUGAGGGAAACUGACAGCGUAACGCUAUUCUCGAUUUAUGCCCACUCUAACCUUAUGGCCAAGUAUGUCCC
Oncorhynchus tshawytscha (Chinook salmon) is the source of this 2330-nucleotide long non-coding RNA. NCBI's taxonomy places the organism in Eukaryota, Metazoa, Chordata, Actinopteri, Salmoniformes, Salmonidae. The record is from Ensembl.